AAGGUCACCAAGGGCAGCCUUGAAGAGGA
RNAcentral lists this non-coding RNA (29 nucleotides) under Homo sapiens (human). Lineage: Eukaryota; Metazoa; Chordata; Mammalia; Primates; Hominidae. The record is from RNAcentral.